This 406-nucleotide ribosomal RNA is filed under the name Verrucomicrobiota bacterium. RNAcentral describes it as "Verrucomicrobia bacterium partial 16S ribosomal RNA". It matches the Rfam family "Bacterial small subunit ribosomal RNA", at positions 355 to 776 of the family's 1533-position model. Lineage: Bacteria; Pseudomonadati; Verrucomicrobiota. The record is from RNAcentral.
UGGGGAAUAUUGGGCAAUGGGCGAAAGCCUGACCCAGCAACGCCGCGUGAGUGAUGAAGGCCUUCGGGUUGUAAAACUCUUUGGACAGGGACGAAGAAAGUGACGGUACCUGUAGAACAAGCCACGGCUAACUACGUGCCAGCAGCCGCGGUAAUACGUAGGUGGCGAGCGUUAUCCGGAUUUACUGGGCGUAAAGGGCGUGUAGGCGGCUAGAUAAGUGUGAUGUUUAAAUCCAAGGCUUAACCUUGGGGUUCAUUACAAACUGUUUAGCUUGAGUGCUGGAGAGGAUAGUGGAAUUCCUAGUGUAGCGAUGAAAUGCGUAGAGAUUAGGAGGAACACCGGUGGCGAAGGCGACUUACUGGGCUCAUUCUGACGCUGAGGAACGAAAGCGUGGGUAGCAAACAGG